This 189-nucleotide ribosomal RNA is filed under the name uncultured bacterium. Its description in RNAcentral is "partial 16S ribosomal RNA". It matches the Rfam family "Bacterial small subunit ribosomal RNA", at positions 338 to 524 of the family's 1533-position model. The record is from RNAcentral.
CCUACGGGAGGCAGCAGUGAGGAAUAUUGGACAAUGGAUGGAAAUCUGAUCCAGCCAUGCCGCGUGCAGGAAGACGGCCCUAUGGGUUGUAAACUGCUUUUAUAUGGGAGCAAUAAGGUCUACGCGUAGACCGAUGAGAGUACCAUAUGAAUAAGCAUCGGCUAACUCCGUGCCAGCAGCCACGGUAAU